Molecule: ribosomal RNA, 662 nt
Filed under: uncultured organism
Description: bacterial SSU rRNA
Rfam family: Bacterial small subunit ribosomal RNA
Source: RNAcentral
GGCUUAGAGUUUGAUCAUGGCUCAGGAUGAACGCUGGCGGCGUGCCUAACACAUGCAAGUCGAGCGAAGCGCUUAAAUUGGAUUUCUUCGGAAUGACGAUUUUUGUGACUGAGCGGCGGACGGGUGAGUAACGCGUGGGUAACCUGCCUCAUACAGGGGGAUAACAGUUAGAAAUGACUGCUAAUACCGCAUAAGACCCCAGCUUCGCAUGAAGCGGUGGUAAAAACUCCGGUGGUAUGAGAUGGACCCGCGUCUGAUUAGCUAGUUGGUAAGGUAACGGCUUACCAAGGCGACGAUCAGUAGCCGACCUGAGAGGGUGACCGGCCACAUUGGGACUGAGACACGGCCCAGACUCCUACGGGAGGCAGCAGUGGGGAAUAUUGCACAAUGGGGGAAACCCUGAUGCAGCGACGCCGCGUGAAGGAUGAAGUAUUUCGGUAUGUAAACUUCUAUCAGCAGGGAAGAAAGUGACGGUACCUGACUAAGAAGCCCCGGCUAACUACGUGCCAGCAGCCGCGGUAAUACGUAGGGGGCAAGCGUUAUCCGGAUUUACUGGGUGUAAAGGGAGCGUAGACGGGAUAGCAAGUCUGAAGUGAAAGCCCGGGGCUCAACCCCGGGACUGCUUUGGAAACUGUUGACCUGGAGUGCUGGAGAGGCAAGUG